This 254-nucleotide ribosomal RNA is filed under the name uncultured bacterium. RNAcentral describes it as "partial 16S ribosomal RNA". It matches the Rfam family "Bacterial small subunit ribosomal RNA", at positions 524 to 776 of the family's 1533-position model. The record is from RNAcentral.
UACGAAGGGGGCUAGCGUUGUUCGGAAUCACUGGGCGUAAAGCGCACGCAGGCGGAUCGUUAAGUCAGGGGUGAAAUCCCGAGGCUCAACCUCGGAACUGCCUUUGAUACUGGCGAUCUUUGAGUCCGGGAGAGGUGAGUGGAACUCCGAGUGUAGAGGUGAAAUUCGUAGAUAUUCGGAAGAACACCAGUGGCGAAGGCGGCUCACUGGCCCGGUACUGACGCUCAGGUGCGAAAGCGUGGGGGGCAAACAGG